AUGAACGCUGGCGGCGUGCUUAACACAUGCAAGUCGAACGGAAAGGCCCAAGCUUGCUUGGGUACUCGAGUGGCGAACGGGUGAGUAACACGUGGGUGAUCUGCCCUGCACUUCGGGAUAAGCCUGGGAAACUGGGUCUAAUACCGGAUAGGACGAUGGUUUGGCUGCCAUUGUGGAAAGUUUUUUCGGUGUGGGAUGAGCUCGCGGCCUAUUAGCUUGUUGGUGGGGUAAUGGCCUACCAAGGCGUCGACGGGUAGCCGGCCUGAGAGGGUGUAAGGCCACAUUUUGACAGAGAGACGGCCCAGACUCCGACGGGAGGCAGCAGUGGGGAAUAUUGCACAAUGGGCGCAAGCCUGAUGCAGCGACGCCGCGUGUGCGAUGACGGCCUUCGGGUUGUAAACUCCUUUCGCUAGGGACGAAGCGUUUUUGUGACGGUACCUGGAGAAGAAGCACCGGCUAACUACGUG
This 467-nucleotide ribosomal RNA is filed under the name uncultured bacterium. RNAcentral's name for it is "partial 16S ribosomal RNA". It matches the Rfam family "Bacterial small subunit ribosomal RNA", at positions 29 to 507 of the family's 1533-position model. The record is from RNAcentral.